This 236-nucleotide ribosomal RNA is filed under the name uncultured bacterium. RNAcentral's name for it is "partial 16S ribosomal RNA". It matches the Rfam family "Bacterial small subunit ribosomal RNA", at positions 524 to 757 of the family's 1533-position model. The record is from RNAcentral.
UACGUAGGGUGCGAGCGUUAAUCGGAAUUACUGGGCGUAAAGCGUGCGCAGGCGGUUUUGUAAGUCUGACGUGAAAUCCCCGGGCUUAACCUGGGAAUUGCGUUUGGAGACUGCAAGGCUGGAGUCUGGCAGAGGGGGGGUAGAAUUCCACGUGUAGCAGUGAAAUGCGUAGAGAUGUGGAGGAACACCGAUGGCGAAGGCAGCCCCCUGGGUCAAGACUGACGCUCAUGCACGAA